RNAcentral lists this ribosomal RNA (253 nucleotides) under uncultured bacterium. Its description in RNAcentral is "partial 16S ribosomal RNA". It matches the Rfam family "Bacterial small subunit ribosomal RNA", at positions 524 to 776 of the family's 1533-position model. The record is from RNAcentral.
UACAGAGGGUGCAAGCGUUAUUCGGAAUUAUUGGGCGUAAAGGGCGCGUAGGCGGCUUGGCAAGUGGAUGGUGAAAUCCCUCGGCUUAACCGAGGAACGGCCGUCCAAACUGCUUCGCUUGAGACCGGGAGAGGUGAGUGGAAUUCCCAGUGUAGCGGUGAAAUGCGUAGAUAUUGGGAGGAACACCAGUGGCGAAGGCGGCUCACUGGACCGGUACUGACGCUGAAGCGCGAAAGCGUGGGGAGCAAACGGG